RNAcentral lists this ribosomal RNA (431 nucleotides) under uncultured bacterium. Its description in RNAcentral is "partial 16S ribosomal RNA". It matches the Rfam family "Bacterial small subunit ribosomal RNA", at positions 29 to 505 of the family's 1533-position model. The record is from RNAcentral.
AACGAACGCUGGCGGCAUGCCUAACACAUGCAAGUCGAACGAGACCUUCGGGUCUAGUGGCGCACGGGUGCGUAACGCGUGGGAACCUGCCCUUAGGUUCGGAAUAACUCCCCGAAAGGGGUGCUAAUACCGGAUAAUGUCUUCGGACCAAAGAUUUAUCGCCUUUGGAUGGGCCCGCGUUGGAUUAGCUAGUUGGUAGGGUAAAAGCCUACCAAGGCGACGAUCCAUAGCUGGUCUGAGAGGAUGAUCAGCCACACUGGGACUGAGACACGGCCCAGACUCCUACGGGAGGCGGCAGUGGGGAAUAUUGGACAAGGGGCGAAAGCCUGAGCCAGCAAUGCCGCGUGAGUGAUGAAGGCCUAAGGGGUGAAAAGCUCUUUUACCCGGGAUGAUAAAGACAGUACCGGGAGAAUAAGCUCCGGCUAACUCCG